GAGUUUGAUCCUGGCUCAGGACGAACGCUGGCGGCGUGCUUAACACAUGCAAGUCGAACGAGGAUAUGCCAGAGGAGAGCUUCGGCAGGAAUCAGGCAUAUUCGAGUGGCGGACGGGUGAGUAACGCGUGAGCAACCUGUCCCAGACAGGGGGAUAACACUUGGAAACAGGUGCUAAUACCGCAUAAGACCACGGUAUCACAUGGUAGUGGGGUAAAAGGAGCAAUCCGGUUUGGGGUGGGCUCGCGUCCGAUUAGAUAGUUGGUGAGGUAACGGCCCACCAAGUCGACGAUCGGUAGCCGACCUGAGAGGGUGAUCGGCCACAUUGGAACUGAGAGACGGUCCAAACUCCUACGGGAGGCAGCAGUGGGGAAUAUUGGGCAAUGGGCGAAAGCCUGACCCAGCAACGCCGCGUGAGUGAAGAAGGCCUUCGGGUUGUAAAGCUCUGUUAUAGUUGACGAAGGAAGUGACGGUAGGCUAUAAGGAAGCCCCGGCUAACUACGUGCCAGCAGCCGCGGUAAUACGUAGGGGGCGAGCGUUGUCCGGAAUGACUGGGCGUAAAGGGCGUGUAGGCGGCCAAUUAAGUCUGGAGUGAAAGUCCUGUUUUUAAGGUGGGAAUAGCUUUGGAUACUGGUUGGCUUGAGUGCGGAAGAGGUAAGUGGAAUUCCCAGUGUAGCGGUGAAAUGCGUAGAGAUUGGGAGGAACACCAGUGGCGAAGGCGACUUACUGGGCCGUAACUGACGCUGAGGCGCGAAAGCGUGGGGAGCGAACAGGAUUAGAUACCCUGGUAGUCCACGCGGUAAACGAUGAAUGUUAGGUGUUGCGGGUAUCGACCUCUGCAGUGCCGGAGUAAACACAAUAAACAUUCCGCCUGGGGAGUACGG
This 883-nucleotide ribosomal RNA is filed under the name uncultured bacterium. Its description in RNAcentral is "bacterial SSU rRNA". It matches the Rfam family "Bacterial small subunit ribosomal RNA", at positions 9 to 885 of the family's 1533-position model. The record is from RNAcentral.